GAUGAACGCUGGCGGCGUGCCUAAUACAUGCAAGUCGAGCGAACAGACGAGGAGCUUGCUCCUCUGACGUUAGCGGCGGACGGGUGAGUAACACGUGGAUAACCUACCUAUAAGACUGGGAUAACUUCGGGAAACCGGAGCUAAUACCGGAUAAUAUAUUGCACCGCAUGGUUCAAUAGUGAAAGACGGUUUUGCUGUCACUUAUAGAUGGAUCCGCGCCGCAUUAGCUAGUUGGUAAGGUAACGGCUUACCAAGGCGACGAUGCGUAGCCGACCUGAGAGGGUGAUCGGACACACUGGAACUGAGACACGGUCCAGACUCCGACGGGAGGCAGCAGUAGGGAAUCUUACGCAAUGGGCGAAAGGCUGACGGAGCAAAGCCGCGUGAGUGAUGAAGGUCUUCGGAUCGUAAAGCGCUGUUAUUAGGGAAGAACAAAUGUGUAAGUAACUAUGAACGUAUUGACGGUACCGAAUCAGAAAGCCACGGCUAACUACGUG
RNAcentral lists this ribosomal RNA (497 nucleotides) under uncultured bacterium. Its description in RNAcentral is "partial 16S ribosomal RNA". It matches the Rfam family "Bacterial small subunit ribosomal RNA", at positions 28 to 507 of the family's 1533-position model. The record is from RNAcentral.